RNAcentral lists this transfer RNA (85 nucleotides) under Nematostella vectensis (starlet sea anemone). It matches the Rfam family "tRNA". Rfam says of the family: Transfer RNA (tRNA) molecules are approximately 80 nucleotides in length. Their secondary structure includes four short double-helical elements and three loops (D, anti-codon, and T loops). Lineage: Eukaryota; Metazoa; Cnidaria; Anthozoa; Actiniaria; Edwardsiidae. The record is from Rfam by way of RNAcentral.
CCUUCGAUAGCUCAGUUGGUAGAGCGGGGGCUGUAGAUUUAUAAUUGUGAUCCCUAAUUCGCUGGUUCGAAUCCGGCUCAAAGGA